Lathyrus oleraceus (garden pea) is the source of this 1345-nucleotide long non-coding RNA. RefSeq lists it as uncharacterized. The record is from RefSeq and is a predicted model, not a curated record. The transcript has 2 exons. Lineage: Eukaryota; Viridiplantae; Streptophyta; Magnoliopsida; Fabales; Fabaceae.
UUGAAACCAAAUUCAAAAAAUGAGCGCACAAGCUAUCAUGAACAUCAUAAAAACUCCGGUCAGGGUGCCACCACCAACCACCACGCCAAAGGUUGUCUCUGGCAGCAGUGGUGCACCAAAAUGCAAAUUAACACCACCAUCCUCAUUGCAAACUCACGCUGAGUCUGAAUACAAGAUUAAUUUCACGGAAUUCUCAACCCUAAGUCCUAACCGAAAGGGAAGCAUUCAAGAACCCUAGGCAAAAAAUGAUAAAUUAAACGAUGGUUGUUCACAGAUUCAUGAUCGAAGCUCAGGGCUAAUUAUACCCAGAGCAUAAUCUACACAACGGUAACAAGAUCGUGCAGAAACGAGGAGAAAAAUAACUACCUCAGAAGCGGAGAUUUGCUCCGGAAAAACGUUGCAUCGGGGAAGAAGCUUGCAACGAAGAAAAUCACUUGAAUCAGGUUGUGUCAGCUACGUUAAUAUGCUAUGUAAUGUUGGUGCAGACUUGGUGUGAAGCUUGAUUGUCUUGCUGUAGGUUUAGGCAUGAUUGGCUGCAUGGCUAGGUUUGCUGACUUGAUGCAGGUUGUGCUUGAAUUGAUGUUGUUAUUUUAUAAUUGGUGGUUUGUCUUGUAGGUUAGGGCAGUAGGUUAGUUUGCACUUGGUUGCAUUGCAUGAUGUGUUACCUAGGUUUAGUUUGAUUGAAUGGUAACUUGCAGGUGAUUUGCAGGCUGUAGGCUUUGGUUUGAUUUGCUGCAGCCUAUGGUUUAUGUAAGGAUUUGAAUGUUUUUUCCUGGAAAUGCAUGUUUUCCCAUUUAUUCAUGCUGCAGAUGUGCAUGUAUGUAUGUUCAUGCUAGGUUAAUGGACUAUGGCCAUGUAGGAUAUGUUGACAUGCUUGAAUUAGUUUUGAAUGCUUGAAAUGUGUGUUAGAUGAUGCCAUGGAUGGUUUACUUUGUAGCUGUUUGGAUUGUGACAGGGCUGUUAGCGAUGAUGUGAAUGCAAGGCUCAAAGAUAUGGCAAAACAAUGCUUGGCAAAUGCACAUUCAAGGUAUGGCAAAUGAGCAUUCAAGGCAUGGAAAAACAAUGGUGUAAAAGGUGGCUUUCUUGCUUAUGAAGACAUUGGUCAUGGAGUCAUAUGGAGGCAUGCAAGAAUGAAGAUGCAGUAUGUAUUAGAGUUUAGGUUGUGAAAAGAUGGGUCAGUUGACUUUGGCCAAUUGGUUGACCAAAAAGUCAACAAUUGACCAAAAUUCAACUUUUACAAAAAUUGUAUUUUUGUGGUAUUUUCUUGUAUGGAAUUUGGAAAAUGAUGCUUGUAAGAUUGAAUGGACAACUAUUUGAAAUGGAAAUGAUCUUUAUUGAAUGAAAA